GCUGCUUCAGUUUCCUCCUCCCAAAGCUUCAGACCGUGCACAAGUUCAAUCUAAAGAAGUCAGGCGACCGGAUUCUUCAACAAUAACGCUCGAUGAUCAGGACGUCGAAAUUACUUUAAAAUUGAGCGAUGACCUCCAUCUGAAUGAAAUAGAUUGUGUGCAUCUACUUGUUGCUGCACAUCAAGAGUGGGAUUUAACAGAACGAGAUCCUUCAGAGAUUUUCCG
This 225-nucleotide unclassified non-coding RNA is filed under the name Hevea brasiliensis (rubber tree). The record is from RNAcentral. Lineage: Eukaryota; Viridiplantae; Streptophyta; Magnoliopsida; Malpighiales; Euphorbiaceae.